UCAAAACUACAGCCCGGUGGUCACUCUCCUAAUUUAGUCUCCAGGCCCCUCCCUUUGUGGUGCCGUCAGCGAUGAAGGCUGGUGGGAAAGCACCCUGUGGAAGUCGGCGACCUGGAAGCAAGGCCUGGCCCCGUCUGACUCACGGAGUGACUACGGGCAACCAAGGACCGUCAGUGUCCAGGCCCUUCUACCCACAGCCUUCAGAAGGAUGGCCAACCGCAGAGACGUUUACACCUCCCUUCCCACACGAGCCCUGAGGUCCCUGACAUCAUCUCCCCAGGGCAGAGGAGCUGGGCAGGUGCCCAGGGACGUCCCUGGCAUGUCCCUCGUUCCUCCAUCGCCCCAGCUGAAGUGCAUUAGAACACCGCCGCUCCUCCCCAGCCCUCUGAAAGGACUUCAGCUCCACCGACAUACAAAGGUUCAGCAGCGUGGCCCUGUCAAGGUCAAGGCUGGACGUACUUACAGCGUUGCACGUUGUGAGCUGUCAGAGGUUCUGCAAAGUGGGACAGCAUGCCCACCAGCUCGGGGCAACUUUUCCUCACCUGCACAGUGGGUGGACUCACCCGCCCGCCCCCAGAUGUUGCUGUAUGACUGGGUCGCCCAUCCUGUCCUCGGCCCCUUCCGGCCGCAGCCUCUGUGUAUGAGGUGUCUCUUGGGGCUGGCACGCCUCACCGUGCUGUCUUGCUCUCAGGCCCUACAAGGGGUUAAGCAGGCUGGAAGCCAGAGGCUGGACAGGGCAAGGAGGCGUCUUCAUCUGGGGCCGUGUACAGGAGGCCACGGGCCAGCCUCGUGACCAGCGGACGGGUUAGCACCUCCAGGAACCUGGCUGACGUCCCACCCACAGGACAUCUCACCCACACAUCCACAGAUGACACUCAUAUCCCAACCACCUUCCUCCUCUCUCUCCUGACCUCCAGACCUAUAGACACAGCUGCGUCCUGAGCUCCACAGCCCUUCCCGUCCUGUGUCCCCCCGAGCUAGCUCAAAUGCAACACCCCCAAAACUCAGCACACCCUCUUCCAUCCCGUGUCCUGUGUCCUCGGCUCAGAGCUGGGCACCACCAUCCCAAAUGCUCUCCAAACCUGGGCACCACCAUCCCAAAUGCUCUCCAAACCUGGGCGCCAGCCUGGACCUUCCCUUUCCCUCACUUUGAUGUCCAGGCCCUGCAGGUCCUUCUUCCCAAAUGCCUCCUGAGUCCCUGCCGCAUGGCCUCUGCUGAGUUCACGCCCCCAGCAUGCCUCGCCU
Molecule: long non-coding RNA, 1245 nt
Filed under: Equus caballus (horse)
Lineage: Eukaryota; Metazoa; Chordata; Mammalia; Perissodactyla; Equidae
Description: lncRNA (ENSECAG00000051657.1)
Source: RNAcentral